This 100-nucleotide microRNA precursor is filed under the name Cebus imitator (Panamanian white-faced capuchin). RNAcentral's name for it is "miRNA (ENSCCAG00000032213.1)". Lineage: Eukaryota; Metazoa; Chordata; Mammalia; Primates; Cebidae. The record is from RNAcentral.
GAGGUAGGAGGAUCACUUGAGUCUGGGAGAUCGAGGCUGUAGUGAGCUGUGAUCAUACCACUGCACUCCAGCCUGCAUGACAGAACCAGACCCUGUCUCA